This 90-nucleotide transfer RNA is filed under the name Rhodospirillales bacterium. Its description in RNAcentral is "tRNA-Ser". It matches the Rfam family "tRNA". From Rfam's summary of the family: Transfer RNA (tRNA) molecules are approximately 80 nucleotides in length. The record is from RNAcentral. Lineage: Bacteria; Pseudomonadati; Pseudomonadota; Alphaproteobacteria; Rhodospirillales.
GGAUGGGUGGCCGAGCGGUUUAAGGCACCGGUCUUGAAAACCGGCAGGGGUUUCCGCCUCUCGUGGGUUCGAAUCCCACCCCAUCCGCCA